UUCUGUGCCGCAGCUAACGCACUAAGUACACCGCCUGGGGAGUACGGCCGCAAGGCUAAAACUCAAAGGAAUUGACGGGGGCCCGCUCAAGCGGUGGAGUAUGUGGUUUAAUUCGACGCAACGCGAAGAACCUUACCUGGGCUUGACAUCCCGGGAAUCUCCUGGAAACAGGAGAGUGCCUCUUCCGAGGAACCUGGUGACAGGUGCUGCAUGGCUGUCGUCAGCUCGUGUCGUGAGAUGUUGGGUUAAGUCCCGCAACGAGCGCAACCCUUGCCUUUAGUUGCCAUCAGUUUGGCUGGGCACUCUAGAGGGACUGCCGGUGUCAAACCGGAGGAAGGUGGGGAUGACGUCAAGUCCUCAUGGCCUUUAUGUCCAGGGCUACACACGUACUACAAUGGUCGGUACAAAGGGCAGCGACUUAGCGAUAAGGAGCCAAUCCCAUAAAGCCGGUCUCAGUCCGGAUCGGAGUCUGCAACUCGACUCCGUGAAGUUGGAAUCGCUAGUAAUCGUGGAUCAGCAUGCCACGGUGAAUACGUUCCCGGGCCUUGUACACACCGCCCGUCACACCACGAAAGUUGGUUGUACCAGAAGUAGUUGGGCUAAC
This 604-nucleotide ribosomal RNA is filed under the name uncultured delta proteobacterium. RNAcentral's name for it is "bacterial SSU rRNA". It matches the Rfam family "Bacterial small subunit ribosomal RNA", at positions 839 to 1439 of the family's 1533-position model. Lineage: Bacteria; Deltaproteobacteria. The record is from RNAcentral.